RNAcentral lists this transfer RNA (77 nucleotides) under Dechloromonas agitata. Its description in RNAcentral is "tRNA-Arg". It matches the Rfam family "tRNA". From Rfam's summary of the family: Transfer RNA (tRNA) molecules are approximately 80 nucleotides in length. Their secondary structure includes four short double-helical elements and three loops (D, anti-codon, and T loops). Lineage: Bacteria; Pseudomonadati; Pseudomonadota; Betaproteobacteria; Rhodocyclales; Azonexaceae. The record is from RNAcentral. RNAcentral also lists the same sequence under 8 other names.
GCGCCCAUAGCUCAGCUGGAUAGAGUACUGCCCUCCGAAGGCAGGGGUCGUGCGUUCGAAUCGCGCUGGGCGCGCCA